AUUGAACGCUAGCGGGAUGCUUUACACAUGCAAGUCGAACGGCAGCACGGACUUCGGUCUGGUGGCGAGUGGCGAACGGGUGAGUAAUGUAUCGGAACGUGCCCAGUAGCGGGGGAUAACUACUCGAAAGAGUGGCUAAUACCGCAUAUGCCCUAAGGGGGAAAGCAGGGGAUCUUCGGACCUUGCACUAUUGGAGCGGCCGAUAUCGGAUUAGCUAGUUGGUGGGGUAAAGG
This 233-nucleotide ribosomal RNA is filed under the name uncultured bacterium. Its description in RNAcentral is "partial 16S ribosomal RNA". It matches the Rfam family "Bacterial small subunit ribosomal RNA", at positions 30 to 263 of the family's 1533-position model. The record is from RNAcentral.